GUAAGCAUAGAUAUAACAUAUACUAAAAUUGGAAUGAUACAGAGAUGAUUAGCUUGGCCCCUGCACAAGGAUGACAUGCAAGUUCGAGAAGUGUUCCAUACUUCA
Molecule: small nuclear RNA, 105 nt
Organism: Carcharodon carcharias (great white shark)
Lineage: Eukaryota; Metazoa; Chordata; Chondrichthyes; Lamniformes; Lamnidae
Source: RefSeq, a predicted model, not a curated record